This is a long non-coding RNA of Papaver somniferum (opium poppy), 772 nucleotides long. RefSeq lists it as uncharacterized. The record is from RefSeq and is a predicted model, not a curated record. NCBI's taxonomy places the organism in Eukaryota, Viridiplantae, Streptophyta, Magnoliopsida, Ranunculales, Papaveraceae. The transcript is spliced from 4 exons.
AAAUGAAGGUGCGAACGGAUCAACUCAUGUAGUAACAAUUUUCAAUCCUUAUUAGUCUCGCAGUUUCUUAAUUUUUCAUUUUUUAUUUAUAGUUUUCUUUGUCGUUAACCAUUGGCAUGCUAACAUAAUCACAUCUAAGUUUCCCGGGCGAGGUACCACGAACUGAUUAUUGUAUUCUCUAGGAUAUUAUAUUGAAAGGAAGCAUCAAUUUAUUUUCAAGAGUGCGAAUGAUAUGGGAAUGUUAAUGUUGAUUAUCCAUUAGAAGGGAGCAUGUCUACUACGUCCUAUAUAGAUUUGGAAGCACAAUAAAACACAUUCUGAAUAGAAGUUAUGACAUCCGAGCAUUUUGUAUGUCUUACAUUACAUCGAUCUCCAUACUUAAUUCACGGGUUCUGUGAUGACGGUGAGUACGUUCACCGAGGAUGAUCUUUGGAGAAGAUGAUAAUGUUACAGGUGAUGGCAAACAUGUUUCCGUAAGAAGGCACCGGAGUAACCUGGCCACUACAAAUAUAAGGAUAGCACAAAUCAUAUCGGGACUGGGGGAGGCGACGCGAAGCCAAAGCCGAGCUUUACCAAAUCAUAUCGCGACUGGGCAAGGCGAAGCCGAAUCCUAGCUUUACCCAAUCAUAUCGGGACGGGGAGAGGCGAAGCCGAGCUUCACCAAAUCAAAAAUAUGGUUCAAAAAAAGAGGCAGUGAGGCAUUGUAUUUGUAAUUGUGCAUAACUAUGUCAUUCUAUUUGUAGUUGGAGAUUGAAUUGGUGAACCAAGUUUA